AUGAAAAUUGUCUAUAUAUCUCCAAGCUAAAAUUUGAAGAUGCCUCCGGGGUCAAUAUGGUAAAUACCUUAGGUUAACCCUAAAUGCUUUGGUAUAUAUAUUACUUUUCUCUCUGAGACGGCUGUAGGCUGUAGGGAUUUAGGGCGAUUACUCUCGCCGUCUUGCAUCUAAGGCCGCAAUUACUAUUGUCGCUGAUUAAUUUUCAUGGAGGUUGAUUUCGUCAUGCAUAUAUUGUUUUCGAUGGAGCUUCAGCCACGAUUUCUCUGUUUAAAAGGUAUGGUUGUUUUUUUCUGUUGUGAUUUACUAUUUUUAUCAUUUGUAUUUGUAGUACACGAAUACACGAUGUAGGAUGAUUUGUGUUUAAUGUAUUUGUCCAGUCUUUUUAAUAAUAAUUUUUAUUUGCUUUUUAGGACCUAGAAGAAAAAAAGUGUAAAAAAAAAAAAUAAUGAUAGCUUUUAUUUGCUCUUUGGACCAGAAGAAUAGAGUAAAAAAACAUUAGGGCGAUUAAGACAUUUAGUAAGUAUUGAGAAUUCAAAACGGUUAUAUGUUAUACUCUAGAUUUUGGCCCAUUUUUAAAUUGAGAAAUUGUUUUAUACUUAUAAUUUUUUUUAGCUGAAGCUAUUGUAUGAUUAAACCCAAGAAACCAAAAAGAAGAAAUUUACAUAUUAUAACCAAUUCCAUAUUCGCCUAAUUAAACAAUGUGGACUCCUACGGGCUGUCAACAAUCUAAAGUUCCUAUUUCUUUUUUAUAAAAUGACAAAAAUAGCCAUUUACACUAAUUGCAUUACAAAAAUAGCCAAAAUAAAUCGAAAUUACAAAAAUAGCCACCAAUUUCGCAGAUGAGAAGGUCCCAUCUGCAAAAUGACCUUCUUAUCUGCGAAAGUACAAGCACCUAAAGUACAGCUGUGCUUUAGGUGCUUGUACUUUCGCAGAUGAGAAGCUCCAUUUGCGAAAUACCCUAGUUUUUGACUAUAUAAACGUUUUUUUUUUCUUCCUUUUUCACCCUUCUCUACACAAAAACUCUCUCUAACUUUGGGCUUCUCUCGGAAUUUUGGCUAGUUUUUGAAGAAAAUGGAGGAUUAUGUCAACAAUCAAGCAAAUAAGGUUAGAUUUUAACUCUUUUAAUGUCAACAAUCUCUUUAUUUUAUCAUUUGUUGUAUUAUUUAGUGUUAAAAAAGGGUAAUUUUGUUGUGUUUGAUAGUUUUAAUAUUUUUUUAGUAUACUUGAAGUUUAAAUGCAAGUAGAGACAAGUAGAGACUGCGUAGAUAAUGUUUACAAUUUGUUAUUUUUGUUGUUUUUUUAGUUGUUGUAUAACCUGAAAUCUUGUAUAUUCUUAUCGUAUAAUUGUUUAUAUAAAGUGCAAAAUAGUCGUUUGUAUAUAUAUUUGUCGUAUAAGUAUAACAU
Molecule: long non-coding RNA, 1404 nt
Filed under: Lactuca sativa (garden lettuce)
Lineage: Eukaryota; Viridiplantae; Streptophyta; Magnoliopsida; Asterales; Asteraceae
Description: long non-coding RNA (LSAT_LNC000331)
Source: RNAcentral